Setaria italica (foxtail millet) is the source of this 5249-nucleotide long non-coding RNA. RefSeq lists it as uncharacterized. Lineage: Eukaryota; Viridiplantae; Streptophyta; Magnoliopsida; Poales; Poaceae. The record is from RefSeq and is a predicted model, not a curated record. The transcript has 5 exons.
CCCUUGUUCGCGCGAGUGCUCGUCCCUGCGCGCCCAGCCGCCCCCGCGGCCUCGCACCUUGCGCCUCGGGCAGUCGGACUGCUGUCCAUCUAGCUGCUCCUUCGCGCUUGUUCAAUCGGGUGCCAAACUGUUCGGCUCAGGGGCGCCGCCGCAACGGGUUUCCACAAUGGCAGAGGACUCCGGCGCCAUCCUCCGCCACAUCUCCUCCCUCAAGGACAUGCUCGACAAGGUACAGAGUCCACGAACCUCCCCUCUUCCAUACGCUCGUGUGCUCCCAUUGUUGCUACUCGGUGUAGAACGAAUUGAUUGGGGCCGUCUCGUCGCUGCGCCGCCCAAUCGGCGUCAGCUGGUCUCCACCUGGACGAAUCGCCUCGCCUGAGGGCCUCCAGGCAUCUCCCGCGGCGAGUUACAACGGCGGUGGGGUUUCGAUUUCGACUCGACGCCAGUUGCAGAGAAACGGAUUAGGGGUAGAUGCGGGGGGCGGUUAUUGAACUGGUAUUUAUUAGAGAAGAGUAUAUACUUUUGCGUGAGUUCAGCUAAGCUGAUUUGCUGCUAUUUAAUUAGUCGUCAAUAACUUUGUCACGGCCCAUGGUACUUUUGGUGGAUGCUACCUGUUACUUUGUCGUUUAAAACUUGAACUAAUUUUCAGUAUUCUGAUGCUGCUAUAAGAUUCAGUUUUCUGCUCAACAUCUGAUUAGGCAUGUUUGGUCUGCUGAAAAAAAGGUUUCAGGUGGGCAUGCUUGGUGUCAUUCAGUAGACUUUCAUCUGUCCUUGAGGGUCACAUUAUAUUAUGCUGGUUAUUUACAAGAUUGUGUUUCUAAAAUGAGAACAAUGUGAUUCCACCAUUUAGUUUCUAUUUAUUGACGAACUAACGUAGAUCUCAGGGGAGUUGAUGAUUCAACUAUGAACUGCACAGGUCGAAAAUUGUAUGCGAAUGGAUGAUCAAACUGUUGACUAUCUUGUAUAUGGUGCCCUUGAUCGGUUGAGCACCAAAUAUUGCCUCAUUCCUGUACUGUUUAAUAUGCCUUUCUGGGUGAUUAUAUUUUGCAUGAUAUUUUGCACCAAAUACUGCCUCAUUCCUGUACUGUUUAUUAUUCCUGGCUUGGAGGAUGGGGCCUCUACCUAUAUGAUAAAUCAUCUGAAGGUUUACACAUGCUACAAACAUGAAAGUGGUAUGAUGUAAUAGUGGUCGAUGUGAUACAUGCUGUAUUUAUUCUAUUAAAGCAAGUGUAUACCCUUCAUGUUGUGAACUAAAUAACUGAUGCCAUGACUUGGUUGCAAAGAACUGAAUUUUCUGUUUACCGAGUUGUGUUAAAUAGCAUGUUUAAUUUUGAUAUUCAACUUCUUGUGACGUUUGCCAUGCUUUAGUUUUGAUUUUGCUCUUUGAGUUAGGUCAAUGAAGAGAUUGAACAAAAUAUACAAAGGACCAGGGAAAUAGAAUCAGAAAUAGUGAAACAUUCUGAAACAGAAAAGCACUAUCUUGACAGGGAGUCUGAGUUAACCAAAGAAAUAUCUGUUGCUGAGUUUGAACUCAAUGGCCUUAUCCAAGUGGCUGGUAAUUAUUUCCUAUAAUUUCCAUUUUCAGUAUGAACCCUUUUGUUAAACAAUUCUGUAAGUUUUAUCUUUUCUCAUCCUUCAUAUAUCUUUACAAAUGGUGUUGCACAGAUCUAUGUCAUGCUUUGAACAAAGCUCGGUCUGAAGUUCCUAAACUGUUACUGUGUUCAAUGAGAUGUUUUGACACUGACAUUUCCAGCAUGCAACUUUAAUUGUUACUUGUUAUAUGAGUAAAAGUGAAUGAGGUUAUUUUUCACAACAAAUCACAUGACUAAUCCAUGUAGCCUUCUUAUUACCAGCGGUGAAAUGUCAUAUAUAUCUGAACACAGGGGGGGUGGGGGGUGUUACCUUAUAAUCCUUAUAGACAACAUAUUAAUUUAAGGACCUUUUAAACUGGUUACAUUUUUGUUUUUUGGCAUCAUAUCUCUUUUACUCCUGCUUAAUAUAAUGACGGGCUGCUUUAAGAGUAGAUCAGCUGGAGGUACUAAAAAAAUAAGGUUUCUCUUUUCAGUGCUGAAUAGUCCAUUCUCUAACCAAUAAUAGUGUUAUACUCUCUCCGUGUCUUGGUAUAGCCUCCAAAACUAGCCUUUGACUCUUAAGUGCUUGUAUACUACAUUGUUUUAGCAACAAAGUCGUAACAAUAGGAAAGUACUUCUAAAUGACAAUCGAAUGAUAUUAUUUUUGUAGAACAGAAUUAAUGUUAAGUGUGGCUAAUUGUUGGUCACAGAUUUCAAGUUUGAUUCUUGAAAUGCAUGUGUGCCUUAUAUUGUGGUAUGGAGUGAGUCGUUGGCCUGGAAACAUUCUCAUAUCCAUGAGAUUUUGUUUACUACAAUGUAUAUUAGCUGUGUGGUUUACAUCUUUCUUUAUAGAAAUAGACAUCAUUCCUCUAUUUAGUGGUUGGUUACAGAUGCAGAGUUACAUAGUGUUUACUGUAUACUGCAAGAACAAUCAUGAAAAUACAUGGCUAACUACCUUUUCAUCUUUUUUUGGGCAUAUGUAAAUUCUGACAUAAAUUUUACCUUUUUAUUUUGCUUGGAAGAACCACUAGAACCAUAAAUGUUAGCGCACUUUUGAGAUUGUGGUGUGGCAUUUACUCUUAACAGAAAUGGUGCUGCAGCAAAGAAAAGUAAAAAAAAAACAGAGACUUUAGAAAUCAAUAAAUCAUUUUGCACAAGAGCGCAUGUAAGCAUAUUGCAAUCACCCAGAUAAAUUAUUUUCACAUGCCCCAGGUGCGGCCUUCUGAACACAUGGGCCCAAGGUGCUCAUGCAAAGAAGGAAUACCAACAACAGCUGAAGGCGUACAUCAGCUUAAGUUGUCUGUGAUCUCAUCUACUAGUUAUAUCUUAUUGUUAUAGAUACUCCAUUAGGGACUGGCCAUAUAAGCCACACUACUUCUAUUCUUUGAAGCCAAUCAAAGAAGAAUUAAUCUACUUUGCCAUCUUAAUUCAUUUUUCUUAUUUAUAUCCCCUCAUCUGAGAGCAGCCGACCAUUAUCUCAGUGGUUUUUACCCUGUGGUGAUCAAAAGGUCAGCACAUUCUUGUUACAUGUACAAGCUCCCAUGUACACGAGAAAUCCAAAGCUAAUGACAUCAACAUUUAGAUGAAUCAUGUCUAUUCUGAGAAAACUACAGCUGACUGUAAGGAUGCCGUACUCGAAUCAGCCUCUGCGCCUUUGUAUUAUAGAUAGAAGAGAUCAGAAAAUGGUUCAAGGAUCAGCCACUUCUGGUCUAAAUCUUUGUGGUUCUCAUUUGUUGAUAAUGAAGUAUUUUCCAAAUUGUUGUCUUUGAUAUGCCAUUUAUCUCUCUGGUGCAUAUAUCUCGUUCUGAAUGAUAUUAUUACUAGGCUUUUACAAUUCUCUUCGGAUUUACAUUCAGUAAUCUGUUUCAACUUGUCAAACAGCCGCUGAAACAGAUUUACUUAAAGUGACAGAGGGAAAUUUGGAGUUCCAGAAAGUUGCUCUCAAUGAGAUUCAACAAAGAUUGUCUGAUAAGAUGGAAAGGUUCAUCAACGAAUCUCAGGUUUUUCAAGCUAAUGUGCUUGGAGGUUCAAAUGAAAAUUUAGUUCUUCUAUUGAAGGAAAAAGAUUCACUGGAGGAUGAGAGUGAGAACCUGAAAAUGAAGAUCAGCACUAUACACAGUUCAUCAAAGGAAUACAUUGCAGAGAUUCUUGAGGAAGUAAAUACAGAAAAUUCAGUUCUGGAGUCUGAGCUAUGGUACAAGAUCUCUGAAUACACAGAUGUUCUGAAAGAUAUAAACAACCUGAAGAUUCUGUUUAGUUCAAGCAAUUUGUAGGCUGUGUAACUGCAGGCUGGCUCUUCAUGACAAAAAUACACACAAGGUUGCUACUGACGUCUGGAUGAAGAGAACAAAUGACAGAUUCUUCAGUAGCUUAAUAGCAAUUACUUGUACAGUCUUCUUUUGUGAAAAGAGAACGGAAACACAACCUAACCAUUAUGAGUUUUGAGUACGUAUGAGUCUGCCAAGAAACAUCAAAAAAGUAUUCAGAUCACCAAUGGUGUUAUUUCAAAAAAGGCCAUAAUCUAUUGUUGAGUGACGGUGUGAUUCUAAAAAAGAGAAAUGGCAUCAUACCUUCUUCCAUAGCCUGAACUAUCCAACUGGACUCAGGCUAUGCGGAUUGCUUUCUUCAUUUAAGUUGGGUAAUUCGACCGUCCACCUUCCAUACUACCUUAUCUGUCUUUAUUUCGAGCAGUUUUGGUGUAAAAGAGUAACAUGGUUAUCUGCUAUGGAUUGCACACCCCAUUUCUACAGGCCAAAGUUUCUGUAUUUGUACACUCGUAUGAAGGAAUCGGUCGUUGUUAGUAUGAAGAUGAAGACAAGUAGGAACCAAAUCAACAAUCAUUGCCCACUACCUAGUACCCUCUGUUCUGUUACAGGAAUCAGUAAUUCUUCUUACAAUUAUGCGGCAAUAAUAUAGCACGCUCAUUAUUUCCUUUUAGUUGUUCCAUUUACAUUUUCAAAUGUUGCCGUAGUGUUAGCAUGGCCUUGUACUAUGUAAGAUAGUGGAAGUGAAAAAUCAAAAGAGAUGUUUUUAGUGGUGUUGUUUCAUCAAAAGAACCUUACUAUCCAACAUGAUUUUAAUUAGAGGUUUAAAUUUUUUUUGUGUACUUGUAGUUGACCCAAAUAAAAGCUAAAUUACUUUCAGAUUUUUAUUUAGUUGUUCACUGAUUAGUUAGCAGCAAACUGCAUAACUCUCGAUGUUCUAAGUUCUGGUUAUACUAGAAUAUCCUUUUAUUGCUUUACAGGUUAGAAGCUUUGGCUCUCUAACAUCCUGUUGGGAUCACAAGCUUCAAGGCAGUACUUAUUUCUAAAGAGAAGUCUGAACCAGUAAUAAACAUGGACGCCUUAUUAGGCUCGUUUUAAUUAUACUCUUUUUAGUUAAUAGGGCUGACUGGAAGGUACAUUGACUGCACUACACUUGUUAAAUAACCACGUCAUAAUUUUCCAAUGCCGAGUAUGGUUCAGGUUCUUAGCAAGGGGGCUGGAAUAUCUUCAAGAGGAUCAAGAACUAGUCUGGUUCUGCUUUAGUAGCAGAAUCUCUAUUUCUUUCUCUUUUGUUUCAAAGUUGAUGUUGGUCUAGCUGCUUGAAAGCGACAGUUUGUUUCUCUUCGGUUGUAAGUUGUCAAACUUUAAUGGCUGAGACCGGACUUUGGUCCUUAAUCUAAAAAAUGUAUAUCCA